GACGAACGCUGGCGGCGUGCUUAACACAUGCAAGUCGAACGGAAAGGCCCUGCUUUUGUGGGGUGCUCGAGUGGCGAACGGGUGAGUAACACGUGAGUAUCCUGCCCUUGACGUUGGGAUAACUUCAGGAAACUGGGGCUAAUACCGGAUAGGUGCUCCUGCUGCAUGGUGGGGGCUGGAAAGUUUCGGCGGUUGGGGAUGGACUCGCGGCUUAUCAGCUUGUUGGUGGGGUAGUGGCUUACCAAGGCUUUGACGGGUAGCCGGCCUGAGAGGGUGACCGGCCACAUUGGGACUGAGAUACGGCCCAGACUCCUACGGGAGGCAGCAGUGGGGAAUAUUGCACAAUGGGCGGAAGCCUGAUGAAGCAACGCCGCGUGCGGGAUGACGGCCUUCGGGUUGUAAACCGCUUUCGCCUGUGACGAAGCGUGAGUGACGGUAAUGGGUAAAGAAGCACCGGCUAACUACGUG
This 468-nucleotide ribosomal RNA is filed under the name uncultured bacterium. RNAcentral's name for it is "partial 16S ribosomal RNA". It matches the Rfam family "Bacterial small subunit ribosomal RNA", at positions 28 to 507 of the family's 1533-position model. The record is from RNAcentral.